GUAUUUUAUAUAUCAAGGCAAAUAAAGCCCUGCCAGAAUACAGACAAUGUCAAAUGUUUAAAAAAGCCAACAUAGGUUUUAUCAACUUCGAAACCUUGCAGACCGUUUCCAGUUGCAAGGAUCAGAGAAGCCACCUACAGAUGGUGCACAAGGUGAAAGUAUUGGAGAAAUCAUAAGAGGCGUGCACAUCUACCCCUUCAAUGAAGAGGUCAGCAACAACCUCGAUGACUAUUCGAUAAUGAUCCUUCCGCAGGUUCACCUACGGAAA
RNAcentral lists this unclassified non-coding RNA (268 nucleotides) under uncultured fungus. RNAcentral's name for it is "sequence contains ITS1". The record is from RNAcentral. Lineage: Eukaryota; Fungi.